UGUCCAGCAACUCCUGUCCCUACCUCCAAGUGGCACCGGCUGGACUGCGAGCAACCUUGGGGAAGAUCGGGUAACCAACCCCAGUGAGAACUUUGGUCGUAGGCUGACAGGGAAGC
Non-coding RNA from Aedes albopictus (Asian tiger mosquito), 116 nucleotides. Lineage: Eukaryota; Metazoa; Arthropoda; Insecta; Diptera; Culicidae. The record is from Rfam.